Molecule: ribosomal RNA, 557 nt
Filed under: uncultured Methylobacterium sp.
Lineage: Bacteria; Pseudomonadati; Pseudomonadota; Alphaproteobacteria; Hyphomicrobiales; Methylobacteriaceae
Description: bacterial SSU rRNA
Rfam family: Bacterial small subunit ribosomal RNA
Source: RNAcentral
ACGGGUGAGUAACACGUGGGAACGUGCCCUUCGGUUCGGAAUAACUCAGGGAAACUUGAGCUAAUACCGGAUGCGCCCUUAUGGGGAAAGGUUUACUGCCGAAGGAUCGGCCCGCGUCUGAUUAGCUUGUUGGUGGGGUAACGGCCUACCAAGGCGACGAUCAGUAGCUGGUCUGAGAGGAUGAUCAGCCACACUGGGACUGAGACACGGCCCAGACUCCUACGGGAGGCAGCAGUGGGGAAUAUUGGACAAUGGGCGCAAGCCUGAUCCAGCCAUGCCGCGUGAGUGAUGAAGGCCUUAGGGUUGUAAAGCUCUUUUGUCCGGGACGAUAAUGACGGUACCGGAAGAAUAAGCCCCGGCUAACUUCGUGCCAGCAGCCGCGGUAAUACGAAGGGGGCUAGCGUUGCUCGGAAUCACUGGGCGUAAAGGGCGCGUAGGCGGCCGAUUAAGUCGGGGGUGAAAGCCUGUGGCUCAACCACAGAAUUGCCUUCGAUACUGGUUGGCUUGAGACCGGAAGAGGACAGCGGAACUGCGAGUGUAGAGGUGAAAUUCGUAGA